GCGACGAAGAAAACUUUUUUGUCGCGUAAAUAUUUCUUGCGCGACGAAGGUCUGUAUUCGUCGCUCAAAUGUUAUUUGCAUGACGAAAUAAGACCUUCGUCGUGCAAGAAAUAUUUGUUUUUUAUUUUUUAUGUUUUCCUUCUUUAUUUUUAUGUACUGUAAAUUUUUAUUUUAUUAUAAAUAAAAAACUCAUACCUAAUUAAACAUUAAAUUAAUUAACAAAACUAAUGUACGCUCCCGACUAAAAAUUAUAAUUACUGCAAAUAUUAAUACUCAUCCACAUAACAUAUAUUUAUUCAUUAAAUUCAACAUGAAGUCCACAAAAUCUUAUUUAAAAAAAAUAUAUAAAAAAAAAACAACCCUCAUCAACUUCAAUCCUCCCUCGCCUGCAACACAUCAAACUUCCACUUCCGGAAUUUCUGCUUGAAAAGCCCAUCCACAUAAAUCCGUUGCUUCUCAUCGAUUUCAUCAA
RNAcentral lists this long non-coding RNA (472 nucleotides) under Malus domestica (apple). Its description in RNAcentral is "long non-coding RNA (MDOM_LNC009096)". The record is from RNAcentral. Lineage: Eukaryota; Viridiplantae; Streptophyta; Magnoliopsida; Rosales; Rosaceae.